UUAAGCGACUAAGCGUACACGGUGGAUGCCCUGGCAGUCAGAGGCGAUGAAGGGCGUGCUAAUCUGCGAUAAGCGCCGGUAAGGUGAUAUGAACCGUUAUAACCGGCGAUACCCGAAUGGGGAAACCCAGUGUGAUUCGUCACACUAUCAUUAACUGAAUCCAUAGGUUAAUGAGGCGAACCGGGGGAACUGAAACAUCUAAGUACCCCGAGGAAAAGAAAUCAACCGAGAUUCCCCCAGUAGCGGCGAGCGAACGGGGAGGAGCCCAGAGCCUGAAUCAGCAUGUGUGUUAGUGGAAGCGUCUGGAAAGGCGCGCGAUACAGGGUGACAGCCCCGUACACAAAAGCGCAUGUGCUGUGAGCUCGAUGAGUAGGGCGGGACACGUGGUAUCCUGUCUGAAUAUGGGGGGACCAUCCUCCAAGGCUAAAUACUCCUGACUGACCGAUAGUGAACCAGUACCGUGAGGGAAAGGCGAAAAGAACCCCGGCGAGGGGAGUGAAAAAGAACCUGAAACCGUGUACGUACAAGCAGUGGGAGCACCCUUUGGGUGUGACUGCGUACCUUUUGUAUAAUGGGUCAGCGACUUAUAUUCUGUAGCAAGGUUAACCGAAUAGGGGAGCCGGAGGGAAACCGAGUCUUAACCGGGCGUUAAGUUGCAGGGUAUAGACCCGAAACCCGGUGAUCUAGCCAUGGGCAGGUUGAAGGUUGGGUAACACUAACUGGAGGACCGAACCGACUAAUGUUGAAAAAUUAGCGGAUGACCUGUGGCUGGGGGUGAAAGGCCAAUCAAACCGGGAGAUAGCUGGUUCUCCCCGAAAGCUAUUUAGGUAGCGCCUCGUGAAUUCAUCUCCGGGGGUAGAGCACUGUUUCGGCUAGGGGGCCAUCCCGGCUUACCAACCCGAUGCAAACUGCGAAUACCGGAGAAUGUUAUCACGGGAGACACACGGCGGGUGCUAACGUCCGUCGUGAAGAGGGAAACAACCCAGACCGCCAGCUAAGGUCCCAAAGUCAUGGUUAAGUGGGAAACGAUGUGGGAAGGCCCAGACAGCCAGGAUGUUGGCUUAGAAGCAGCCAUCAUUUAAAGAAAGCGUAAUAGCUCACUGGUCGAGUCGGCCUGCGCGGAAGAUGUAACGGGGCUAAACCAUGCACCGAAGCUGCGGCAGCGACGCUGAUGCGUUGUUGGGUAGGGGAGCGUUCUGUAAGCCUGCGAAGGUGGCCUGUGAGGGUUGCUGGAGGUAUCAGAAGUGCGAAUGCUGACAUAAGUAACGAUAAAGCGGGUGAAAAGCCCGCUCGCCGGAAGACCAAGGGUUCCUGUCCAACGUUAAUCGGGGCAGGGUGAGUCGACCCCUAAGGCGAGGCCGAAAGGCGUAGUCGAUGGGAAACGGGUUAAUAUUCCCGUACUUGGUGUUACUGCGAAGGGGGGACGGAGAAGGCUAUGUUGGCCGGGCGACGGUUGUCCCGGUUUAAGCGUGUAGGCUGGUUUUCCAGGCAAAUCCGGAAAAUCAAGGCUGAGGCGUGAUGACGAGGCACUACGGUGCUGAAGCAACAAAUGCCCUGCUUCCAGGAAAAGCCUCUAAGCAUCAGGUAACAUCAAAUCGUACCCCAAACCGACACAGGUGGUCAGGUAGAGAAUACCAAGGCGCUUGAGAGAACUCGGGUGAAGGAACUAGGCAAAAUGGUGCCGUAACUUCGGGAGAAGGCACGCUGACACGUAGGUGAAGUGAUUUACUCAUGGAGCUGAAGUCAGUCGAAGAUACCAGCUGGCUGCAACUGUUUAUUAAAAACACAGCACUGUGCAAACACGAAAGUGGACGUAUACGGUGUGACGCCUGCCCGGUGCCGGAAGGUUAAUUGAUGGGGUCAGCGCAAGCGAAGCUCCUGAUCGAAGCCCCGGUAAACGGCGGCCGUAACUAUAACGGUCCUAAGGUAGCGAAAUUCCUUGUCGGGUAAGUUCCGACCUGCACGAAUGGCGUAAUGAUGGCCAGGCUGUCUCCACCCGAGACUCAGUGAAAUUGAACUCGCUGUGAAGAUGCAGUGUACCCGCGGCAAGACGGAAAGACCCCGUGAACCUUUACUAUAGCUUGACACUGAACAUUGAGCCUUGAUGUGUAGGAUAGGUGGGAGGCUUUGAAGUGUGGACGCCAGUCUGCAUGGAGCCGACCUUGAAAUACCACCCUUUAAUGUUUGAUGUUCUAACGUGGACCCGUUACCCGGGUUGCGGACAGUGUCUGGUGGGUAGUUUGACUGGGGCGGUCUCCUCCUAAAGAGUAACGGAGGAGCACGAAGGUUGGCUAAUCCUGGUCGGACAUCAGGAGGUUAGUGCAAUGGCAUAAGCCAGCUUGACUGCGAGCGUGACGGCGCGAGCAGGUGCGAAAGCAGGUCAUAGUGAUCCGGUGGUUCUGAAUGGAAGGGCCAUCGCUCAACGGAUAAAAGGUACUCCGGGGAUAACAGGCUGAUACCGCCCAAGAGUUCAUAUCGACGGCGGUGUUUGGCACCUCGAUGUCGGCUCAUCACAUCCUGGGGCUGAAGUAGGUCCCAAGGGUAUGGCUGUUCGCCAUUUAAAGUGGUACGCGAGCUGGGUUUAGAACGUCGUGAGACAGUUCGGUCCCUAUCUGCCGUGGGCGCUGGAGAACUGAGGGGGGCUGCUCCUAGUACGAGAGGACCGGAGUGGACGCAUCACUGGUGUUCGGGUUGUCAUGCCAAUGGCACUGCCCGGUAGCUAAAUGCGGAAGAGAUAAGUGCUGAAAGCAUCUAAGCACGAAACUUGCCCCGAGAUGAGUUCUCCCUGAGACUUAAAGUCUCCUGAAGGAACGUUGAAGACGACGACGUUGAUAGGCCGGGUGUGUAAGCGCAGCGAUGCGUUGAGCUAACCGGUACUAAUGAACCGUGAGGCUUAACCUU
Molecule: ribosomal RNA, 2901 nt
Filed under: Salmonella enterica
Lineage: Bacteria; Pseudomonadati; Pseudomonadota; Gammaproteobacteria; Enterobacterales; Enterobacteriaceae
Description: bacterial LSU rRNA
Rfam family: Bacterial large subunit ribosomal RNA
Source: RNAcentral